UGCUAAUAGCAGAUAUUGUGCAUUGGAAAGAGAAAAUAGGUAAAUGCCCAUUAAAAUGCAUACUGCAAUCCAAGGAUGAGAUGCACUAUAGCAGGAGCUUAACUUGCCUUUAUAAUAAAGACUGCUUUACAACUGAAUAGGAGUGAGUAUCCUUCCACAGGAAUAAAUACUUUCCUGAGUGUGUUGUUGAACCAUCAGUGUGCCGUCGGAUAAGCAACAGUAUGUGCACAUGCGUCAGCACCUCGAUUCACCACCAGGGCGUAGUGAGCGGCGCCCUCACCCCACUUGUGGGGGCUGCUCUCCUAGACCUGGUGCUGGGCAAACUUCUACAACACAACCCCGCCCCCUAUCUGAUGUGCUGUUAAUUAGUAAUUUCGACACGAUAUAUUUUAAAUUUUUAUUAUGAUUUUAAAUUUUUUUUGUGUGGAAAUUUUAUUUGCUCUACUAUAGUGUGGUUUUACUUUGUUAGUCUGGUGUACUCCUCUGAGUUAAACUUUGUCUCAGUGCUCUGAAGCCCCUUUCCCAUCGGCGUAUCGGAUAUUUUGCUGGCCUAAUCCCUGACUGGCAGACAGCUUACCAUUUCCCCCGCCUUCAGUCACGCCUCAAGCCUGUAAUAUCAUUUCUCUUCGUGACCCUAACUGCAUAGACAAGCCUGUAGCUUGCAGGCGACCAGUUCUCAGAGACGAGCUGAGAUUGGCCUUUUUCAUCACGUGUUAGUGUUAUGUUCGCUCCUCUGCAGCCACGACGGGACGUAGAUUCCCAGCAGCUUUGCAUUUUAACCUCACCCCCCCCCCCCCCCCCCCCUUCUCAGUUCCAAGUAAGACCAAUGACCGGUCGUAACCCCCCUGGUCAACCGUGAGCGUCCUCAAGGUCUCCUCGCAAAAAACGAGUGCGCCAAAACUGAUCGCAAGAGCUACCUAGCGACCAAGUCGCGAACUUCUCCGCUAGUCUACCCUCUAGGGCGCCAGAGAGCAGCACCUGCUUUCCCUUGAGUUAUAUGGACGCCGUGGGCGAGUCGAUUGUUUUCAACUCAGACCCCUCCGACAGAGUUCUCUACUGUCGCCCAGUGAUGCCAACUUCAAAACUCCUGCCAGAGUUUUUUUUUCCGCCCGCAUUCGGGCAAGUUCGGAAUCUUUCGGCGGCCCAGACCUCCCCUCCACCUGGGGCCUGUUUCAUAAAAUUACAAGUUUACAAGCUACAAGUUACAAGUUACAAGUCUAUAUUCUACAAGUCUAGUUGACAAGUGUUUCACGAACAAAAUGUUUCGACUUGUGAAUCCCAAUUGGUGUAUCGAUAGUUUUACAAGUCGACACACAGUUGUAAUAUAUUGCCAAAGCGAAAAUGAGCGCCAGAAAGCAAACUGGAAACAAAAUAAUGAUUCUGAACAAAAUAAAAUAACAAAAAAGUGUUUUCUUCGGGGCAUUCUCAGAUACACUGACGAAAGAGAACAAAAUGAUCACAUGGAAGGAAAUUCGGGACUUUGCAGCUUCGUUGGGAAUUAUCCCAGAAAGCAAAGACUGGGGUUAUGUUCGGGAUGUUGUUUGGCAAAAUGUCAAGAAAAGUACCAUGGUAAGAAUAUUCUAUUAUAUUAUUUUCUAUAUUUUACCUAACAGUUAUAAUAAUGAAGUCAUAACAAAUUUGUGUAUUUAAUUUUAGUACAAUUAGAUUAUUACUUGGCAGUUACCUAACCUAAAUUAAACUUGUGUUAUUCUCUUUUUCGGCAGAGUAAACUAGAUAAUACAAAGAAGACAGGUGCUACGGGGGGAAGCGGAGCGAAGCUGACAGACAUCGACAAUUUAGUUUUGGAUAUUGUUGGAAGAGACUCCCCUCUUGUCUGUAGCUUGGACGUUGCAGAAACUUGGGCAAGGGCCAGCACUGCCACUUCCCAGGUUUCUAAACCAAGCUCCAAUAAUGAAACAAGAAUGUUAGAAGAAGCUGUUGAUAUGGACGAACAUGAGAUGGCUGCAGAGGUCGUAGUGGUUAAAACAUCUGCUGAUGUAGCAAACAAAGCCUCCAAAAUGAAACAUUCAUCUGUAAAAAGCACAGAGGAAGAUGUAUUUUUAAGAGCAAAGAGGAAGCUGCAGCUGGAGUACAUGGAAGUCCAGAUUUACAAAACAAAGUUGGACAUUUUGUAUAGGGAGCACCAACUUAGUUUACCAAGAUCCAAAUUCACAGACGAUAUUCAACCAGUUGAAUCGUAUACAGCUGAUGAAAAUACUAUGGAUGAAUUGUUACUAGAAUGAACUUUUAAAUUAGGUACUACUGUAUUUUUUUAUUUUAUUUCUUGCAAUAAAUAAAUUGGAAUUAUAAAA
Bacillus rossius redtenbacheri is the source of this 2312-nucleotide long non-coding RNA. RefSeq lists it as uncharacterized. The transcript is spliced from 2 exons. The record is from RefSeq and is a predicted model, not a curated record. Lineage: Eukaryota; Metazoa; Arthropoda; Insecta; Phasmatodea; Bacillidae.